Molecule: ribosomal RNA, 253 nt
Filed under: uncultured bacterium
Lineage: Bacteria
Description: partial 16S ribosomal RNA
Rfam family: Bacterial small subunit ribosomal RNA
Source: RNAcentral
UACAGAGGUCCCAAGCGUUGUUCGGAUUCACUGGGCGUAAAGGGUGCGUAGGCGGUUGGGUAAGUCUGACGUGAAAUCUCCGGGCCUAACCCGUAAACUGCGUUGGAUACUAUCCAGCUAGAGGAAUGGAGGGGAGACUGGAAUACUUGGUGUAGCAGUGAAAUGCGUAGAUAUCAAGUGGAACACCAGUGGCGAAGGCGAGUCUCUGGACAUUUCCUGACGCUGAGGCACGAAAGCCAGGGGAGCAAACGGG